This 30-nucleotide transfer RNA is filed under the name Salvia amplifrons. RNAcentral's name for it is "partial tRNA-His". The record is from RNAcentral. Lineage: Eukaryota; Viridiplantae; Streptophyta; Magnoliopsida; Lamiales; Lamiaceae.
GGCGGAUGUAGCCAAGUGGAUCAGGGCAGG